Bemisia tabaci is the source of this 1916-nucleotide non-coding RNA. The record is from RefSeq and is a predicted model, not a curated record. NCBI's taxonomy places the organism in Eukaryota, Metazoa, Arthropoda, Insecta, Hemiptera, Aleyrodidae.
AGAAUGGGGCCCUAUCACUUACGUUUCAGGACCACAUUCCAUUAUGCUUUCUAGCUCAUUCGGGCCGAAAGCCAUCGAUUUCGCAAGUGCGGGCUCAGGCGUCAGCAUUUGGAUGUUUAGAGUUUACAUCUCGGAGCGCCGAUGUUUCUCGCAAUCACGUCUUUGACGUCAUCGCGUCAUCGGAUGCUACGAGAUGUAUGCUCUCGAGAUUCGCCGCGGGUUCAUUCGUAUCUUCGAGGCAGCGAGUAUAGGUAGCACCUAGCCAGUGCACCAAGUGUAUUACCGUUGUAUUGAUAUUCGAGAUAUAGAGUCAGUUCUACCAUUUGACGAGCGUUGGAUUAUUUCAUCCCCCCCAUUACAUAGUGGAGACUCCGGGAAUCGAGCACGUCAUCGAAGAUCCCAGGACUCCUGUUCGCAAUGGAAGUUUUCUUGAUGCCGUCUCGGAAUUCGCAUCUCUGAUGGGAAACGCACUGACAGUCCACGCAUCCUCAAUGAUUCACACCAAAGUAGCGCCCAAAUCGCGGGAACUUUGACUUCGCUGAUCGUCAGGCAGGACACCAGCCGGCUCAUCUCCUGUCGAUGGGAUCAGCGGCCCUUUCCCCAGCGUACCCUGCUUCUGGGGUAGAAACAUCUCUCCCUGGUUCAUCAUCCCCUGGUUACCGUAACCGGAGUAGCUAAGCUUCGGCAUCCAGCGACUGGUUCGCGGGUCGUAUCCCUCAGCGCCCUCGGACGUAUCAACCACUCAACGAGGCGGCUAACUUCUUCCACUGGUCGCCAAGCAGGCCGAUCCCUAGGACAAGCAGAGGCCAUCGAUGGGCUUCGAGACACGUUGGAGGCACUCUUCACACCCGGCUCAUCCUACCUCCACUUUCGGCGGGAUCCGGGCGUGCUUCUCUCAACUGAUCGGGAAAGGCAUCUGGACAUCAUCCGGAUAUCCUGACAAUCGAGGGACAUCCAUUCCUGAGGGCGACACGACGACCUGGCAACCGCGUGUCAUCACGGCGUUACAACGAAGAGACAGCCGAUGGUGCAAAUAUCAACAUUGGGCAUCGCGAAGGACUGAACGAGGCGCUUUUGAGUCAGCAGAAUGUGUUGGACGGGCAUGGCACCUGAGAUUUUUCGGAGCGACAGCAAAUUUCUUUGUAGUAGUUUUAAGAACCGAAAUCGGGUACUCGUACUCAAAUUUUUAUUUACGUUUUUUUUCGAUUCAAAUUUGUUUUUGAGUACCACGAAUGCGCCAGGUUAAACUGCGGUGAACAGGUUUCAUAGCAAUUUUGGGAUUUUGUUACAUGAACAGAACGGCUAUGAAACCUCUCGAACCAAAGUUCUGAUCGGGUGCCGGCAAAUAUAAAAUGUAGCCGCUUUAUUUAUUAUUUUUUUCGUAAAAAGUCAUAUUUUCUAUUACCAUUCGAUUAAUGUUUUUUUUUACGCUAGCCUCCUUUUAUUUAUAAUUUUUUUAAACCUACUUUUAUUUUACUAUUUUUUUUUACGAUGAAACGCUGCACUUGCUACGCAAGGGCCUUUGCUUCGAAAGGGAUGGUUAAAUCAUUUUUUUUUCGUUUUUUUUGCCUAAGGUGGAAGAGUGUAAUAGAAUGGGGCCCUAUCACUUACGUUUCAGGACCACAUUCCAUUAUGCUUUCUAGCUCAUUCGGGCCGAAAGCCAUCGAUUUCGCAAGUGCGGGCUCAGGCGUCAGCAUUUGGAUGUUUAGAGUUUACAUCUCGGAGCGCCGAUGUUUCUCGCAAUCACGUCUUUGACGUCAUCGCGUCAUCGGAUGCUACGAGAUGUAUGCUCUCGAGAUUCGCCGCGGGUUCAUUCGUAUCUUCGAGGCAGCGAGUAUAGGUAGCACCUAGCCAGUGCACCAAGUGUAUUACCGUUGUAUUGAUAUUCGAGAUAUAGAGUCAGUUCUACCAUUUGA